This 84-nucleotide transfer RNA is filed under the name Candidatus Woesearchaeota archaeon. RNAcentral's name for it is "tRNA-Phe". Lineage: Archaea; Nanobdellati; Candidatus Woesearchaeota. The record is from RNAcentral.
GCCGCGGUCGCCUAAUCAGGUAUGGCGGAUGGCCGAAACCCAUCUGGCCGAAAGGCCUUCUGGGCUCAAAUCCCAGCCGCGGCG